GAAAUGCGAUAAGUAAUGUGAAUUGCAGAAUUCAGUGAAUCAUCGAAUCUUUGAACGCACCUUGUGCUCCUUGGUAUUCCUUGGAGCAUGCCUGUUUGAGUAUCAUGAAAUCUUCAAAGUAAAUCUUUUGUUAACUCAAUUGGUUUCUACUUUGGUAUUGGAGGUCUUUGCAGCUUCACACCUGCUCCUCUUUGUUCAUUAGCUGGAUCUCAGUGUUAUGCUUGGUUCCACUCGGCGUGAUAAGUUAUCUAUCGCUGAGGACACUGUAAAAGGUGGCCAAGGUAUAUGCAGAUGAACCGCUUCUAAUAGUCCAUUGACUUGGACAAUACUUUUAUGAUCUGAUCUCAAAUCAGGUAGGACUACCCGCUGAACUUAAGC
This 378-nucleotide unclassified non-coding RNA is filed under the name plant metagenome. RNAcentral describes it as "partial contains 5.8S ribosomal RNA, internal transcribed spacer 2, and large subunit ribosomal RNA". The stretch from base 1 to 105 matches the Rfam family "5.8S ribosomal RNA", at positions 50 to 154 of the family's 154-position model. The record is from RNAcentral.